AGGACGAACGCUGGCGGCGUGCUUCACACAUGCAAGUCGAGCGGAAAGGCCCUUCGGGGUACUCGAGCGGCGAACGGGUGAGUAACACGUGACUAACCUACCCUGGAGUGGGGAGUAACUGAGGGGAAACCUUAGCUAAUACCGCAUAAUACCUACGGGUCAAAGGAGCAAUUCGCUUCAGGAGGGGUCGCGGCCGAUUAGUUAGUUGGCGGGGUAAUGGCCCACCAAGACAGUGAUCGGUAUCC
RNAcentral lists this ribosomal RNA (245 nucleotides) under uncultured bacterium. RNAcentral's name for it is "partial small subunit ribosomal RNA". It matches the Rfam family "Bacterial small subunit ribosomal RNA", at positions 26 to 288 of the family's 1533-position model. The record is from RNAcentral.